CAUGAAGCUGGAAUCGCUAGUAAUCGCGGAUCAGAAUGCCGCGGUGAAUACGUUCCCGGGUCUUGUACACACCGCCCGUCACACCAUGGGAGUCGGAAAUGCCCGAAGUCAGUGACCCAACCGUAAGGAGGGAGCUGCCGAAGGUGGAGCCGGUAACUGGGGUGAAGUCGUAACAAGGUAGC
Molecule: ribosomal RNA, 182 nt
Filed under: uncultured bacterium
Lineage: Bacteria
Description: partial 16S ribosomal RNA
Rfam family: Bacterial small subunit ribosomal RNA
Source: RNAcentral